CCUACGGGAGGCAGCAGUGAGGAAUAUUGGUCAAUGGACGAGAGUCUGAACCAGCCAAGUAGCGUGAAGGAUGACUGCCCUAUGGGUUGUAAACUUCUUUUAUAAAGGAAUAAAACGAGGCACGUGUGCCUUUUUGCAUGUACUUUAUGAAUAAGGAUCGGCUAACUCCGUGCCAGCAGCCGCGGUAAUACGGAGGAUCCGAGCGUUAUCCGGGUUUCUUGGGUUUAAAGGGUGCGUAGGUGGGUUUUUAAGUCAGUUGUGAAAGUUUGCGGCUCAACCGUAAAAUUGCAAUUGAUACUGGCAGUCUUGAGUACAGUUGAGGUAGGCGGAAUGCGUGGGGUAGCGGUGAAAUGCUUAGAUAUCACGAAGAACCCCGAUUGCGAAGGCAGCUUACUAAACUGUGACUGACAUUGAUGCUCGAAAGUGUGGGUAUCAAACAGGAUUAGAUACCCUAGUAGUC
RNAcentral lists this ribosomal RNA (460 nucleotides) under uncultured bacterium. RNAcentral's name for it is "partial 16S ribosomal RNA". It matches the Rfam family "Bacterial small subunit ribosomal RNA", at positions 338 to 795 of the family's 1533-position model. The record is from RNAcentral.